UGUUUAUCUAAAUGCUAUUUUAUCCAGGUUCAAGCUCUUGUAAUAGGAUUUAUACUACUUGUAAGGAGAAUUCUAUAUUUGAGAAUUGUCCUUUUGAAAAGGUGAAUUUUAUCACAUACUAACCUUUUGCUGCCCUGCACAUUUUCUGAGAUACUUGAAAACAUAUUUUGACAUUUACAUGUUUUGCCAGUACCCAUUAUGUUCCUGCUUUAUUAAAGCCAUUUUAUUCACCUGACAGAUUAAGAUUAGAAUAUUUUAAAAGUUGAAUUUUGAAAGCAAAAGUUUGUUCUACUGCAGUAGUUCGCAAGUGCUGGUCUUUGUAUGACUGCAUCUGAGUCACUUAAGAAGGCUUUUUAAACUCUAGAUUCCUGGGCUGUAAUCCUUGGAGAUUCUCAUGACUUACCAUUUUUGGCAUCCAUUCUUUAGAAAUAGUUCCAGCAAUCCUAUUCUGCCCGUUUUCAUUUAAUACACACACUUUGUUUCUUCAUCUUUAUUUUGUGGCAGAUGGGUUUGACUUUGCCAGCUGUGACUGAUUAGUGGUUCUCUGUAGCACUGUAUUGAGACUCUUAGUGAAGCCAUAUUUGAGCUGGACUGGAAGGAGGGAAGCAUUUUGCCACGAGUUUCUCCCAAGGCGUGACUGAAUGGAUUGGUCCUUGUAUCAUUUGCAGUGCUUAUUUGCCAGCUUUAAUUAGCUAUUCUCCUGUUAGACGUUUUAUUAACUUCUACUUUUUUACUUACCACAGAGCAAAUGUUCCACAGCAUCAAGCGUGGCUUUUUCUGAUUUAUAAUCAUUUACUCAGAUUAUCGUUUUUAAAGUGAUUCAAGAGCAUUAAUAUUUUUAUAGUUUUUGACAUGUGUAGCCAAAAUGUUUUCCAAGAGGAAAAAUGUAAAAGGGCUAGAUUAAAACAAUUCAAAAUGAGUAAUAGUGUUAAUUGAGGACCACCACCAAGGAAGGGAAAUACUGGUUUCCCCAUGCCCUUGAUACAGGUGGGUGUUAAUUCUCUUUAAUGUUCACUGAAUAAAAAGGAGAGAGUAUAUUUAUUUUAGCUUGAAUUUUUUUAAAUAUUAACAGGGCUAUUCUGUUUCUAUUAUUAUAGGUUCUUUCACUCAUUUAUCUGGUCUUACUGAUCUGUACAUAUUCGUUAUAAUAAAGAUACUAAUUCAUCUUUGUCAUA
Long non-coding RNA from Homo sapiens (human), 1175 nucleotides. NCBI's taxonomy places the organism in Eukaryota, Metazoa, Chordata, Mammalia, Primates, Hominidae. The record is from Ensembl.